This 1359-nucleotide ribosomal RNA is filed under the name Salmonella enterica. Its description in RNAcentral is "partial 23S ribosomal RNA". It matches the Rfam family "Bacterial large subunit ribosomal RNA", at positions 1 to 1306 of the family's 2925-position model. Lineage: Bacteria; Pseudomonadati; Pseudomonadota; Gammaproteobacteria; Enterobacterales; Enterobacteriaceae. The record is from RNAcentral.
GGGUUGUGAGGUUAAGCGACUAAGCGUACACGGUGGAUGCCCUGGCAGUCAGAGGCGAUGAAGGACGUGCUAAUCUGCGAUAAGCGCCGGUAAGGUGAUAUGAACCGUUAUAACCGGCGAUUUCCGAAUGGGGAAACCCAGUGUGACUCGUCACACUAUCAUUAACUGAAUCCAUAGGUUAAUGAGGCGAACCGGGGGAACUGAAACAUCUAAGUACCCCGAGGAAAAGAAAUCAACCGAGAUUCCCCCAGUAGCGGCGAGCGAACGGGGAGGAGCCCAGAGCCUGAAUCAGCAUGUGUGUUAGUGGAAGCGUCUGGAAAGGCGCGCGAUACAGGGUGACAGCCCCGUACACAAAAGCGCACAUGCUGUGAGCUCGAUGAGUAGGGCGGGACACGUGGUAUCCUGUCUGAAUAUGGGGGGACCAUCCUCCAAGGCUAAAUACUCCUGACUGACCGAUAGUGAACCAGUACCGUGAGGGAAAGGCGAAAAGAACCCCGGCGAGGGGAGUGAAAAAGAACCUGAAACCGUGUACGUACAAGCAGUGGGAGCACCCUUUGGGGUGUGACUGCGUACCUUUUGUAUAAUGGGUCAGCGACUUAUAUUCUGUAGCAAGGUUAACCGUAUAGGGGAGCCGCAGGGAAACCGAGUCUUAACCGGGCGUUAAGUUGCAGGGUAUAGACCCGAAACCCGGUGAUCUAGCCAUGGGCAGGUUGAAGGUUGGGUAACACUAACUGGAGGACCGAACCGACUAAUGUUGAAAAAUUAGCGGAUGACCUGUGGCUGGGGGUGAAAGGCCAAUCAAACCGGGAGAUAGCUGGUUCUCCCCGAAAGCUAUUUAGGUAGCGCCUCGUGAAUUCAUCUCCGGGGGUAGAGCACUGUUUCGGCUAGGGGGCCAUCCCGGCUUACCAACCCGAUGCAAACUGCGAAUACCGGAGAAUGUUAUCACGGGAGACACACGGCGGGUGCUAACGUCCGUCGUGAAGAGGGAAACAACCCAGACCGCCAGCUAAGGUCCCAAAGUCAUGGUUAAGUGGGAAACGAUGUGGGAAGGCCCAGACAGCCAGGAUGUUGGCUUAGAAGCAGCCAUCAUUUAAAGAAAGCGUAAUAGCUCACUGGUCGAGUCGGCCUGCGCGGAAGAUGUAACGGGGCUAAACCAUGCACCGAAGCUGCGGCAGCGAACGUAUCACCCAAGACAACUUUACGGAGUUAACGAUUGACGGAGCGAAGCGACGUCAAAGCGUUCAUUAAAGUCGAGUUGGCUUAGGGAUACGUUCGUUGGGUAGGGGAGCGUUCUGUAAGCCUGUGAAGGUGGCCUGUGAGGGUUGCUGGAGGUAUCAGAAGUGCGAAUGCUGACAUAAG